This 215-nucleotide long non-coding RNA is filed under the name Manihot esculenta (cassava). RNAcentral's name for it is "long non-coding RNA (MESC_LNC008005)". Lineage: Eukaryota; Viridiplantae; Streptophyta; Magnoliopsida; Malpighiales; Euphorbiaceae. The record is from RNAcentral.
GUCAAAAAUAACCUUUCUGGUUAUUAACAAUUUUACAACUGUAGAUAGUGGUGAAAGGAUCGAAUCCAUAGGGAAUUGAGAACUUACCUAUUUUCCUUAUCAAGACCAAGAGAAUUAACUGAAACAAAAAUAAACUGAAAGAGAAAUAAACUGAAACGAGAUAAACGCAAAGCAAAACAAACUGAAAGCGAAAUAAACUGAAAGAGAAAUAAACG